Molecule: ribosomal RNA, 252 nt
Filed under: uncultured Bacteroidales bacterium
Lineage: Bacteria; Pseudomonadati; Bacteroidota; Bacteroidia; Bacteroidales
Description: partial 16S ribosomal RNA
Rfam family: Bacterial small subunit ribosomal RNA
Source: RNAcentral
UACGGGGGGUGCAAGCGUUAUCCGGAUUUAUUGGGUUUAAAGGGUGCGCAGGCGGAGGCACAAGUCAGCGGUCAAAGCCCGGGGCUCAACCCCGGCCCGCCGUUGAAACUGGCAGUCUCGAGUUGGAGAGAAGUAUGCGGAAUGCGCGGUGUAGCGGUGAAAUGCAUAGAUAUCGCGCAGAACUCCGAUUGCGAAGGCAGCAUGCCGGCUCCACACUGACGCUGAGGCACGAAAGCGUGGGUAUCGAACAGG